This 367-nucleotide unclassified non-coding RNA is filed under the name Hevea brasiliensis (rubber tree). The record is from RNAcentral. Lineage: Eukaryota; Viridiplantae; Streptophyta; Magnoliopsida; Malpighiales; Euphorbiaceae.
GACAAUGUCGCUGCUGGCACCAUCGUUGAGCGCAGCUUCUCCCUCGACGGCCUAUCUGGUGGAGUCUCUGUCGAGGACCUCGGCCACCAUGCCGGCUACUACAGCCUCCCCCACACCCACAGCGCCAGAAUGUUCUACCUGUUCUUCGAGUCGAGGAAUAGCAAGAAGGACCCAGUUGUCAUCUGGUUGACGGGAGGACCGGGCUGCAGCAGCGAGCUGGCGGUGUUCUAUGAGAAUGGGCCGUUCACCAUUGCUGAGAACAUGUCGCUUCUGUGGAAUGAUUUCGGAUGGGAUAAGGCAUCGAAUCUGAUAUAUGUUGAUCAACCCACUGGAACUGGUUUUAGCUAUAGUUCGGAUAGCCGUGAUA